Molecule: long non-coding RNA, 271 nt
Organism: Oncorhynchus tshawytscha (Chinook salmon)
Lineage: Eukaryota; Metazoa; Chordata; Actinopteri; Salmoniformes; Salmonidae
Source: Ensembl
AGGUGUAUUAGGACUAAAUUAUGUUGUGUAUUCGGACUAGAUGAUGAGGUGUAUUAGGACUAGAUGAUGAGGUGUAUUAGGACGAGAAGAUGAGGUGUAUUAGGACUACAUGAUGAGGUGUAUUAGGACUACAUGAUGUUGUGUAUUAUGACUACAUGAUGAGGUGUAUUAGGACUACAUGAUGAGGUGUAUUAGGACUACAUGAUGAGGUGUAUUAGGACUACAUGAUGAGGUGUAUUAGGACUACAUGAUGAGGUGUAUUAGGAUUAAU